This 473-nucleotide small RNA is filed under the name Pongo abelii (Sumatran orangutan). Its description in RNAcentral is "retained intron". Lineage: Eukaryota; Metazoa; Chordata; Mammalia; Primates; Hominidae. The record is from RNAcentral.
AUGCGGGGGCGGGGCCGCGGCGACGCUUGGUGUGUGGGCGCAGAUGGCGGCGGCGCACGGCGCCUGAGCGGGCCGGGGCCAUGAGCGCCGCCCGGCCCCAGUUCAGCAUUGAUGAUGCCUUCGAGCUGUCCCUGGAGGACGCGGGCCCUGGGCCCGAGUCCAGCGGGGUCGCGCGCUUUGGGCCGCUGCACUUCGAGCGUCGGGCCCGGUUCGAGGUGGCUGACGAGGACAAGCAGUCCCGGCUGCGCUACCAGAACCUGGAGAACGAUGAGGAUGGAGCCCAGGCCUCUCCGGAGCCGGAUGGGGGAGUCAGCACCAGCUCCCAGUGGUCCUUUAGCACCAUCAGCAGCGGCACCCAGCGCUCCUACAACACCUGCUGCAGCUGGACUCAACACCCUUUGAUCCAGAAGAACCGCCGAGUGGUGCUGGCCUCCUUCCUGCUCCUGCUGCUGGGGCUGGGUGAGUGGCCCUGA